GCAGCAUUUUAAUACAAUGAUGUUUUCAUUCAAUUAAUGCAUUGUAAAACAUUUGUUUUUCCAUUUGUUUUCACUUUUUGCUUUUGCAUGAAAUCAGUGAUCACAAAAAACCCUGAAAAACAAAAACAACAUCUUUUCAUCUGCAUAACUGAUUUGCUUGUUUAAAAUUCAAAGCUUUUCAUUAUCCAGAAUCAUUAUGCAGGGAUUUCUAAACCCAUUGAACAUAAUGAUCCAACGCCAUCUCCCAAUCUUGAAGUCCUUGUAUCUGAGGCAGAGGAA
This 279-nucleotide long non-coding RNA is filed under the name Lathyrus oleraceus (garden pea). RNAcentral describes it as "Pisum sativum (pea) long non-coding RNA (PSAT_LNC041202)". The record is from RNAcentral. Lineage: Eukaryota; Viridiplantae; Streptophyta; Magnoliopsida; Fabales; Fabaceae.